CUUUUUGGAUAUAAUAUAUGUUACAGUGAUUUUAGGAUGAGCGUUUUGCUUUCAUUUUCAGGGACACUAGGCAAACCUUUGGACUACAUUUUGCCUGACAGUGGAGUCUUCUUGUUGAGGCCUUCACACAGUUCUUGGAAGAAUUCUUCUGUAAGUCAGGCAGGCUCCCAAAGUCGAAGAUUUCCAUUCCAGUCGCUUGUGGUGCAAAAGCAAUUGCUUUUAGAAGCUAGUGAUAUGCAUGUUCUCCUUGCUGCACAGCGAAAGCUUCCACACCUUGUAUCAAAUGUAUUUCAAUAAUCAAUGUGCCCGGGGUCGCGGCAGUGCCAGUGAUGCGUGUAGCUAAUCAGUCAUUAGUCUUUAGUCAUUAGUCUUUCACUGGUUUUGUGCUGAACCAGAAAGUAGAUAUUUUUAAAUCACAUUUGAUAUUUGUUAUGAUGUAGGCAGCAUUCUUUUGGGGCCAGAUGAUCCUUUGGUGCUUAGUGAAUAUAGAGACUUCCAAGUCAAGAAGUUUGGGGUUUGAGUCAAACUCAAACCUUAAAUUUUGUCUAUCAGAAAAGAUAAAUGAAUGUGUGAGGUUUACUUUUGUUAAUCUCAUUGACUUUUGCUUAUUGUUUCUGUCCAUUCAAGGAACGAAUGAAAAAAUAAAGCGAAUGCAUAGGAACAGGAAGUAGGAUGGGAGUUGCCAGGAGUUCGCAGGGAGUGAGGAGAUAGGUCAGAGGGUGUGACCUUGCAGUUAUGCAGGUUGAGUAAGUUCUAGAGACCUAACGUACAGCAUAACAACUGUAGUUGAUCACACUGUUUUGUAUACUUGAAAGUUUCUAUGAAGAUAGAUCUUAAGUAUUCUCAUUACACACAGACAAAUUCGUAACUAUGUGAGAUGAUGGAUAUUUAAUUAGUUGAUGGUUUUAUGGUAUAUGCAUGUAUAUAAAAUAUAUAUAUAUAUAUCAAAGCAUCACACUGUUCAUUUUAAGUAUAAAAUGGACACUUUAUCAAUUAUAACUAAAUGAAGCUGAAAAACACAACAUUUAUCAUUUUAAAAAGUACAGAAAAGAAAAAUGAAAAACUGUCUUCCAAAAAAAAUUGCUUCUGAAUUUAACUGCUGUUACACGUGGAUGGUGUAGACGGCUUCCCUGUGAGUUUUUCAAAUGCCUGGAUUAUAAUCUGUCACUCGGACAGUCCGUCCCAACCUGUGCACUGUUGCCUUCGUCUUUCUUGCAGAGCUUUCAGACUUUAUUCUAUUUGUGCCUCAUCGUGCCCUUGGUAUGUAGGCACAGCAAAUAUUUUUAUCUUUUAUAGAUAAGGAGAGGGAGCUUUACAGACAUUUAAGCCUGUGUCUUCUGUUUCUUGUUUAUGCUAGAUUCAGACUUUCUUAAGGGCGGAAGAAUUUCUGGCCUGUUCUCUGUCCAUCUAGCACCUAGUUUAGUGCACGACCCAGGAGAGCUCAUCUGGCUCAUGGAUUGAAGUGCAUUGAUCUCAGUAACUGUAGUUGCUGUCCAACAAAUGUGCCUCAUUAAAGCACUGGGAAUGUAGCUCCAACCUGAAGGAAAGGGAGUUGCUUUUGACAUUUUUCUGAGGUGGAGAAGGACAGGAGGGAGAUCGAUCUCCAUCCUAUUAACACAGUGAAUGGGGCUCAUUGUCAUUUCUAGGUGAGUUAGGAUGGUAGACCCUGUCAAGGUGGAUUCAGUAAUUAACUUUGUGUAAAAUCACCUCCUCUUGCCUGAAAGGACAUCUUUUGAACUGAUUGAAUGGAUACCCCUCAGCCAAAAAUGCCUGGGGGACAUUCACGGUCUCUGCAGUCAGUCGCCUGCCUGCUGUCAGAGGCCAUAGCUUGUGUGCUUACCCUUGAGAUACUUCAUUCUCCCUGGCCUUUUUGCUGAGGCUUUCACUUUUGUUACUGUUGUUUUAGUUUUCUAUUUCUAGGAAAUUGUAGUAAAAACAAAUAACCCACUCAAAUUGAGACCAAAAGCCUAAUUGAAGUCAAUGGAUAUGAAAGGAAGAAGCUAGCAUUGUGUUCUCCAUAAGAGGUUGCUGAGAAUACCAAGAAGCAGGGGCACAGCUGUGAUUUUUUUUUUACAAGUUUUACUAAAAAUGGAAAUGUUGAAAAUAUUUCAGCCUCUGUCCUUAGCUCACUGUGGUGUGAAGAGAAGGAAGCACCUGUGUUGUUGCAGAUUGAGAAGGGAGGAGGUGUCUGGGUUCCCUGAUGGCUUCGGUGGCGCUCCUUCCCCUCUGUGUGUGCUGCAGGUCACCCCAAGCUGGGGGCAGGUCGUGGGGAGGAGCCCGGAGUCUGUGGCCAGAGGAGUUGCAACUGUCCUUUUCUUGGUAGGGGGUGCAGACAUGGGAAGGAAGAAAAUUGUCUAAGAGGGAGGCACUCUUACAAAAAUAGUUACUACAUUACAGUUAAGUGCUGAAGUAACUAUCUCCAGGAGGACAAGGCUGGAGGGAAAAGCAAGGCAUUUGGCAUUAGGCAUCCUGGAGCUGAAAUGUCAGCUCUGUUUCUGACCUGAGCAGGCCUCAUUUACCCCAUCUGUAUAAUGGAGAUAAAAAUAUUUUACCUCCAAGUUCAAGUGGAAGAACAUAUGUGAAGUACCUGACAUGUGGUAGGCAGUCAGCAGGCCUAGUUCUUUCUCAUUUUGCUUCUAAGUUUGGGUUUAGAACGGCAGGAAUAAAAACAGACUUUGGGCAGUUUUCCCUAAAUGUCUUCUGAGGAAGAUUUUUCUCAAGAGAGGCACUCAGAAAUGAUUUGUGUGGUUCAGCAGGUUUGCUAACGACUGACGCUGCGUCCCUGUCCACAUCCCACACCACCAAGGUGUUCCAGGUGCCCAAGAGCAGGAGGAACAUGCCGAGAUAUCCACAGCCAGAGACGUACCGUCCACUCACCUGCGUUCCUUAGAUGUAUUUCCGUGUGAAAGGGAUCUGCCUGGCAAUUGCUAAUAUGGCCCUCCCCUGAAGCAGGUUCUCUGGGGUUUCCUUGCUUGCAGGGUGCCUGGUGGCUUCUUGGUGAUUCUCUGGAGGUCCCAAGAGCCUGUGCCUGGGGGCCCAUCACAUGCUCCAGGUGCUGUGCCAGGCCUUGGGAACUUAGGGGUGGUGAGAACUACCCGAUAGCUCACAUGGUUCCAUUUGGAUUAGUGUGAAAUCUAACUUUAGAAGACCAAGUGUAAAGCUGAACAUUUGUGUGUAAAAUAGUGACAUGUAAGUAUAUAACCAACAAAUUCCGUGCUGGAGCACUGGCAGGAGAGAAAGGACUGUGGACGUGUAUUUUGAAAAUAUGGCUACUGUUAUCCCACCAUGAGUGCCCACCCCAUGUUCGCUGUGUCAGUCAGAGAUGCAACCUGUGUGGGGAGUGGCCUGGGGAUUCCUUACGGGCUGAAAUCUAAAAUGUAGAAGCUGUUUUAACUUAAAAUGGGGCAUAUUAGAGCCAUUUAGGUCUGUCUUUCACUUGCGGCAUUUGACAGUUAUCCUGAGAAUGUUUAUGUGGUGUUAUGCUGUCAGAGUUGUUUCCAUUCUGACAGCUGCCAUAACUAGACACGGGGCUCUCAUCCAGAAGGUGGAAACGUGAAGCUCAAAACGGGAGGUGCUGUGGUCCCAUCCCAGGGAUGGGAUGGGAUAACUUCCUAGUUAUCUGGGAAGGUAGAAAUGUCCACACUUCGAUUAGUUCUUAAUAAAAUAGUCCAGUGAACGUUAUUUUCUUAACCAUGGCAAGAUUGAAUAAGCCAAAUAAAACUAUGUAUAGACAUAUAUUUUAUAUAUAUAUAUUACUUAUUUAAAAUGUAUAUAUAAAUUAUAUAUAUGUGUGUAUAUAUAUAUAUAUAUAUUUUUUUUUUUUUGCUUUGAGCCUGAAUUAUAUCUAUUCUGAUACGAGCUACUUAUUUGCAUUUAGGAAUUUUGCCAUUAGAACCCAGAUGACAGGGUUUUGAUAUAUAAUCAUAGAAAGUUGUUACUUAAAAAUAUAACUUUUGGCCGGGCACAGUGACUCAAGCCUGUAAUCCCAGCACUUUGGGAGGCUAAGGCAGUUGGAUCACCUGAGGUCAGGAGUUCAGAACCAGGCUGGCAAACAUGGUGAAACCUCAUCUCUACUAAAAAUACAAAAAUUAGCUAGGCGUGGUGACACAUGCCUGUAAUUCCAGCUACUCGGGAGGCUGAGGCAGGAGAAUCACUUGAACCUGGGAGAAUCACUUGAACUAAGCCAAGACUGUGCCAUUGUACUCCCGCCUGGACAACAAAAGUGAAACUCAGUCUCAAAAAAAAAAUAGUAAUGAUAAAUAAAAUAAAAUUAAAAUUAAAAUGUAACUUUUUGCCCAGGCACAGUGGUUCAUACCUGUAAUCCCAGCACUUUGAGAGGCUGAGGUAGGAGGAUUAUUUGAGCUCAGGAGUUUAGGACCACUCUGGGCAACAUAGGGAAACCUUGUCUUUACAAAAAAUAAAAAAAAUUAGCUGGGCGUGGUGGCGGCAUCUGUGUCUCCAAGCUACUCAGGAGGCUGAGGCAGGAGGAUCGCUUGAGCCCAGGAGAUUGAGGCUGCAGUGAGCCAUGAUUGCACCACUGCAUUCCAGCCUGGGCAGCAGAGCAAGACCUUGUCUUAAAUAAAAAGGUAACUUUUAGUAGACAGAAUCUUUCCUAUGGAAUAACUACAAUGAAAGUGACUCUUAGUGGUUUAAAUAAAACGUUGGGACCAGAUGGUUGGUUAAGUUGUGUGGUUGAACAUUGCUAUGUGGUGUAGGCUCAGAUCUCUGCUCUGCCUCUGCUACCUGCAAACUCUGUGAUUUUCAGCAAGCAUCCUAACUUCUCUGAGCCUUGGUUUAUUCACCUCUAAAAUGUGAUUAACCUCAUGAACAAAUUAAAUGGGAUAAUGUCUAUAAAGUAUUGAGCAGGAGCAUGCCUGGUGAUAAAUAAUACAAUCAUUUUGUUUUUUCCUAUACAUUUGCAAGGUCAUUUACCUGGUAUGCUGUGGAAAAGCUACGUAAACCCCAAGUUUCUGAUUGUGUAACUUAUUAGGAAAUAAGUGGCAUUUCCUCACUGAAACUUUCAACUGAUUUCGGGGAUAGUCUUCCUUUGCACAUCUUUAUGUCCCUGUUAGCUUUGCAUUAUGGGUACCACACGUAGUGGGUGCUUCCUCAUGUACAUAGUGGAUAUUUAUUCAUUUAAUUUUUUAUUCAUUUUUGAACACCUGGCUGGUGCCAAGUGUCCUGGACUCCUAGGUAAGACAUAAUCCCUGCCCCCCUGGUCCCUUGAUCAGCAGGAGAUGCAGGUGUGGGCUGUGACCAUUGGGGGCUUGAAGUGCUGUAUUUGCAGCAUGGAUAAUGGGGUACAGCACAGAGAAGAGUGAAUUCUGCCAGAAGAACCUAGGAAGGCUUUAGGGGCAUUUGAUCUAUCUCCUAGAGAAAGCAUGUAUGGGUAGAGCCACCACACUGGGACCAGCGAGGGAAAGGGGGUAUGUGACAUGAUGGGCCAGAUUGAGAGGACUUUGCUAAGGUUUCUGCUAGUUUAAAGCUCAACAGAGACAGUCGUGCCCCACAUCACCAUGUUUUGCCUAAUGACAGACCACAGAUACCAUGGUGGGCCUGUGAGAUUUUCCGGUGGAGCUGAAAGAUGGAUUCUGCCUAGUAUUUACUAUUCUGUUCUUUUUAAAUCAUUAUUUUAGAGUGUACUACUACUUAUGAAAAAGUAAGUGAGAUGUGAUAGGAGGGAUCCAGAUGAAGGCAUUGUUACUAAUAUCAUAUGAGAUGACAGCUCCGUGGUGUUGCCGCCCCGAAGACCUUCUACUCAGAGAAGAUGUGGAGCUUCCUACCUCCGUUGCUGAUGUUCUUGCCCUGCUUUCUCAAUUUCCUGCAUGGAGCCUCCUAAACUAUCGGACCUUGAUGUUUCCCAGCUCUUCAGGUAUCUGGGGCUUAAACUUAGAAUAGCAUUUCUCAUGCCAUGUUGCGGUUGUGUUCACUGGUCUAUAACUUCCACUAAAGGAGUUUUUUAAGAGAAGGGGUUUUCUUGUGUUCUGCUUUUUCAUAAACACUGACACAUAGUGGCCCUCCAAAAAAAAAAUGUUGAUGUUCAAACAUUAAAUACUCUAGUUCCAAGUGACUUAAGGCAGGCAAGAAUGAGGUGGUUCCAUUUCUAGCUUUAUUUUUACAGUUACAACUGCUGUUGCUCUGGUUUUAUCUCUGUGCUUUCUGUGAGAUGUAUCUAAGAAAUCAUAGGGUGGUCAGAUUAAGAAGAAACUAAAUAUCUUACCAUGUGGUAUUGGCCUGCCUGGGUAAGGCCUCUCUUCUGGGAUGUGGGAGGUUCAGAGAUGCAUGAGUCCAGCCAUCAGAGUUGCUUCUCCUAAGCAGAUGGCCUUCUUUUAGUCUUGGUGUUUCAGAUGGGGAGAAGGCAGACUUGGAGGGUGGGGUGACUUUAGGGUGCAAAGGAUAAGUUCCAGUUCCUUGUUGCAAAGAACUGAAGCUUCUAGCUGCCAAGAUGCCUGCAAAGUAAAGGCCUACCUCUGCAAGUCCGUCCCAUGUUCCCGGAACACAGAACACAGAACGGCUUCCUGACCCCCUUUGUCUUAGCACCAGCGCCCGUACCCCUCAGAUUCCCUGCUCACAACUCACAGGCUACAAGCAGAGUGUUCUUUUUUUGUCCAUAGCUUUUAGAGUCCUUCUCAAACUUUACCUUAUGGCUUCAUCUCACUGCUCGUAAAACUCUGGGAAAUAGGCAGGAUUCUCCAUCUCAUGAAGAGGAUGCUGCAGCUUGGAGACAUGAAGGGACCCACGCUGUAGCGAGGCACUUGUGGAGAGCCUGACUCCAGUGUACCACCUGCUCCUCGCAUUCAAAUCUCACACUUUUUUUUUUAAUUUAGCUUGUGGUAUUGAUGAACUGAAAUGCUAUUAGAGAGUUUCACAUACCCUAAUUUACACACACAUACAAAGUAGUUUUCUUGCUGGCACCGUUCCUGUAAUGAAAAGCAUUUUCUCCUAGUGACACCCCUGAGAUCUUGGCAGCUAUGUUCUGCCUCAGUCUAAAGCCCAGUUCCCAGCGAUCUGUUAGGCAGAAUGUAGCCCAGAACCUCCGUGCAUCAGAACAGCUUGAUGAAUGUCUGCAGUUGUGAGUUCCUGCACAUGAAUCUUGACAGGUGACUUCACUCAGAGCCAGGGUUGCUGUAGCUAUAACUUUUUCUAACUUGGUGUGUAUUUUUCCUAAUCAAGAGAAUGAAAAUCUACAAAUGUGGAGGAUGAGGAGUUCUCUACACAAUUAAUGAGAAAUGACAAUUUGUAACCUGAUGACACAGGAGAAGUGGCAAGCCAGAACAUCGCAGCUCAUGCUGCAAAAUCUCCUGGGAUCUGACAUGCGUGUCACCAGGAUCUGUGUUUUGGGAAGGGACACCCACCUUCUCAAUGUCAGAGGGCAGGAGAGGGUAAGGGCCCUGUGACCCCUGCCUCUGACACCUGCACUGGCCUCAGAGGAGAGUUGUGGCUCUGAUCCCCCAACCCUUGCUGGUCCUUACAGAUGAGUCCUGGUACCCCAAGCCCCAGCCCCUUCACUGCCUCCCUUCCCCACUGGGACCUCUGAGACCAGGCUGGCAGCCACUGUCCUCUCUCAUGGCCACAUUGCCAAAGCCUCUCAUCCUCCCUUCCCUGUCCAUGGCCUGCCAGUACAACAGCAUUCUCUGAAAUCGAUUCUUAGUUGAUUUAAGUGGGUGUCCCUCCCCUCUCUCACCCUCUGACAUUGAGGAGGUGGGUGUCCUUUCCCAAAACACAGGUCCUUGUGACAAACAUGGGCCUACACUAUGAAGUAGGCUGUCUCUCCACUAGAAAUUUGGUGUGUAUUGCAGGUCCUUAAGAAAAUGCCAAUUCCUGAUAUUGCUUUGCUCAGAAACUGAGCCAAGGGCUGAAAGGCAACUCUGGAAGCAUUUGCACACCCUGCCCCAGCGAAGGUCAGUGAGUGCCUUCUCACCCCUCUGCAACCUGCUGUUUCCUUCCUGGAAAGGAUGCUUGGAAUCGACUUUCUCUCCCCAUUUUGUGGAUUUGACUCUCCACCUCCAAACCCUCCUCACGGCUUUCUCCCAGGAGGCAGCGUCCUGGAACCCUGCCCCGAAUGGCAGGACCCCUAUCAGUCUCCCCAGCCCUUUCUCACACAAGGGAUAAAGAGCAAACAAAUACAACUUUUGAUUUCACGAUGGGAUGGAAUGAUCUUCUGUUGUCUGGAAAAUUCAGAUUCUCCCAACAGAGUCUAAAUGAAGAAAAUGUCACACUAUUACGUUACCCUCUGCUGUUACGCGUUCUGAGCAGCUGCAUGCCUGCUCACAUUGUCUCACACUCAGCCUGUCAAGCACCUCCGUGCACGUGUCCCCUACUGUCCAGGACUUCUUAAAAUCUCAAUCCCACAGAUACUCUCAUUCCACCUUCAGUGAGAGUCUGACCCAGGGAUCAUCCUGCCUCAACUCUUAACCCUCCUCAACAUAGCACACUUGCCACGCCAUGGUACCCCUUUCGCCCAAUGUCACAGGCUUGAUGUGGAGGAAAUAUACGUUUGCGGAAGGCACGGAGGGGUCGAGUCCCUGCCUGUUCCUGCCUCUGAUGUUGGUGCUGUUUGUGCACACCCUCCUACCACAGUGCCUCUGUUUUGUUCCACGGGAGGUCUCCAUGAUGAAGCCAUGCCUGGGUGCAAUAGGCAUUUUGGCCCCUCUGUGAAUCCGAGUUUUCAUAUUCAACAAACAGAACAAACAGGCUGCGCUGCCCACACCACCGCUUCUCUUGCAGCUUGUGUGGAAGCUGAGGCUGCAGGAGCGAGCUCCUUGCUAAGGAGGGAACAGGCAUCCUCUCCAGAACCCCUCCCUCCCAGCCACUCUGCACUGCUUCUGGAGGAGAGAAGGCAGUUGGACAGUUCACUAGUCCCCCUGAAACAGCAGAAAGUGCAGCUUCCACGUCAGUGUCUUCCCCUAGGAAAAGCCCAGUGGUGUCCCUAGAGAGCCACAUCUUCCUGGCUGUCACCCCAGUCUCACCCUGCCUCUGGCUUCCUGGGCUCAGUCUUCAGAUCCUAUUACUGCCUCUUUGGCUGCCACCCAGACCUCAGGAGAGACAACUGUGAGAACAAAGAGCGACCUUCCUGCUCUUUUGGCAGCGGGUGUGUGGUCACGUGUGUAGGCCUCCUCAGAAUUUCCAGCUUCUGAUGGCUUCUGUAGACUGUGGCGGAGCUGCAAGCCCGUAGCUGCAGGUUGUGCUCAGUCCCUUACCCCGUCACAGCUUGCGAGCUAUGCCCAAUCCCCUACGCCCUUACACAGCUUGCAAACACUUCCCCAAAGCCCUGCUGACACAGUGCCGUGAUUGAAAACCGCUCGCCUGAACCGUCACACUGGCCUCCCUGCCCAGGUGGGUCCAUCCUCACCCUACCCACAGUGGGUUCGUAUAAAGCAGCUGUGGAUGACACAGAUCCCUGCUGAUGCUGUGCCCUUUCCACUGCCCGCAGGAGUGAGCCCCGCUGCUCUGCUCAGCGCUGCUGCUGCUUCCAGCCCACCACACCCCAUGCUUCCCUGUCCACCCAGCCAGAGGCUGAUCCUGAGCACACCCCUUCUUGGGGAGCCCGCUUCCCUUUCUCCUGACCGCUGUUUGUCUUGGAUGAACUCAACAAUGGAAGAGGUGGUUUUUUCCCUGUGUAAGGAGAUGGAAUAAACAGCCUCCACAUCCAGCCCUAGGGCCAUGCCUUGCUCCUUAGAGCUCUGGAUGGCCAGGGAGCCAGGCUCUGGGCGUCCUCCUGGCCUCCACCCCAGGUCCCUGCAUGCCUUCCCACAAAAGCAGGUGCUCACUGCUAGCUGCUGAAUGGGCCUGAGAGUCCCAGACAGUGACAGCCUUGCUACUGAUAACGUCCCACUUGGAGUUCUUGAAAGAGCGUAUUUAACACGAAAUCAUUCAGUCCACAUCUUCACUGAAACUCUGCAGUCACCAGCCACUGUGUGAGGGCCUCUGAGGGCUACACAGGACCACAGAGGCAUUACUCCAGGCAUGUCUACACUGCAGGAGGUGAGGUGUGUGCUAAUCCUCUACGUGGGUGAGUGGGCGCCCAUACACAGCUUGCAGGCUGGAAGGCUCUUUGAUGAUGGAAACUGUGCAUGGGCAGAAUGAGGUGCAGUAGGUGGAGGGUACUGAAGGGGUAAGAACUAGGAUUUGCAUGUAGGGCAAAAUCAAUCCUUCCCUCCAGGAUGCAACAUGCCAGGCAGGAUCAUUUUCUUGUUCUGUAAUUGAAGGGACUUAGUCUGAGGUACCUUAGGAAAAAGGUAACGCAGGGGAGCCACGCACCGAUCCUGACCCAAAGCAGCUGACUGUGAGCCUGCCUGCCUCCUGUGGGCCACCCACAGCCAUGGCAGAGGGCAUGGGAGACGGCAGGUCUAAUGGUUCAACAGAAGUAAUAACUCACGUAGGCUGGGCGGGGUGGCUCACACCUGUAAUCCCAGCACUUUGGGAGGCCGAGGUAGGUACAUCACGAGGUCAGGAGUUCAAGACCAGCCUGGGAAACAUGGUGAAACCCCAUCUCUACUAAAAUACAAAAAAUUAGCUGGACAUGGUGACAGAUGCUUGUGAUCCCAGCUACUCAGGAGGCUGAGACAGAAGAAUCACUUGAACCCAGGAGGCAGAGGUUGCAGUGACCCAAGACUGGUAACACUGCACUCCAGCCUGGGCAACAGAGUUGAGACCCCACUGGAAAAAACAAAACAAAAACAAAAACAGCUAAUGUAGAGGAGAGCAUUUAUUUUGUGUGUAAAGUCUGGAUUGUUUUUUUCAAGAAUUUUAUUAAUGCAAACUUUGUAUUUUGACCUCUUUAGAAUGUGAGUGAAGUCACAUUCGUUCAUCCUCGAGGAAAGGGAUCUUUGCCGGAACAUAUACUGGGCAGCUUGCUGGGCAGUUGGCUCCAGGUUCCCAGGCCACCCAGUGAAGUUGCCAGGGGAUUCCCAUGAGGCUGUCCUCUGGAGGCUGUCCUAGGAAGGCUGUGCUGGGGGUCCUGCCUCCAGCCUCCUUAACCUCAGCGCUCCAGGCUCCUUAACUGCAGCGCUCCAGGCUGUGCUGAGGACCCAACUGGUAUUGCCCUGCCAUGGUGGUGUGUAGCUAGCACACCUCUCUCAGGGCUCCAGCCCCCUGCUGGGCUGCAGAGGAAUGUCUGUUGUCAGGUGUCUGGUUACUCUGUGUGUGUUCUACUCAUCUCUAGGACCUUCCAUCCACCCUCUAUCUGCACAGCUUUGAUGCAUUCCUUGCUACUUGCCAGCACUCUCCUAAGUAUGGAGAAUAGAAAGAUAAAUAAUUAAUAGAUCUUGCUUUCAAAGAGUUCACCAUCUACUAGAGAAGAAACAUAAACAGACCAUGGAUUAUUGAAGGCUCCAGAAAGGCUGAGAGAAACCCUUGUGGAGUGUGUGAUUAAUACUCCAGAGCCCCACUGUCUCUGAGGCACUGGAGCUGUGGAGUGAUUUUCUUUCUGUCUGCCAAGCUUAUCCCACAGUAUCAGGAAGUGGAGGCACUGGGAGAUGAAGGUCCAUGCUAGAGCCACAUGUCUGCUAAGUGGGUGAGCUACAAUUUCAAGGCAGCCUUGUGAUUCCAGUGUCCUUUCCCCCACCCGCUGUUCACGGCGCCCUUGCCGCUUUCAUUUGGACCUGCCUGCAUGUAAUUCUUGUGUUAAUCAAUCGUGGAUCCCAGAUGAGCAUCUCUGAUGCACAGCUUCUAGGCAUUUUCUCCUGCGUUUAGAGCCAUCAGUAGCCAACAGGACUUCGUGUGAAAAAGCAGAGAAAAAUCAGACUUGCUGUAGUUUUAGGCAAGGCAGAUAUUUCUCUGUGGCUGCUUCUCCUUGGCAGGAAACUUCUGACGCAUUGGAGGUAUAUUAGCAAAUCAGCAGUGCUGUCUCCUCAUCAGGUUUCAAAGAGUUGGAAACCAUAGUGGAAAAUGAAAUUCCUGGAACAUUCUGUGGCUCACUCUCCCCCAUCCCUUUCUUCUCUUUGUGUGGCUAAUGCCUUUUUUCCUGCAAUGCCUUUGACCCUCUGCCCAACUUUUCAUCUCUGGGAAACCUUCCCUGGUCCCACCCAGGCGGGACCCAUCCUUGUUAAUCUGUAGUGGCCUGUGAGAGCCUCCACGCCCCCUUGAAGUGGCCCCAUGAGAGCAUGGAGCACAGUGCAUCGUGGUGAUGAUCUGUGCAUGCCUCUUUCCCCCACACGGGGCUGUGUGGGUCUUGGUAGCACGGAUCAUUGCAUUGGCAGCAGCCUGAGUGUGAACAUAUAAAUGAGAUGUUCUCGGGUUGACUGACACUAUGCCCCUUUAAAGUACGUAUGAUUCCUUGUUCUACAAAACAGUUUAUGAAGUAAUCAAAAAAUACUUAGUGAAUGAUUGCUUUUGAAAGAGCCCUUGUUUAAAAAACUAAAUUUUACUGUGUAUAUUUGAGGUUUACAACAUGGUAUUAUGGGAUACAUAUGGAUAAUAAAAUGGUCAUAGAGUGAAGCAGCUCAGCAGAGGUGUCAUCUCACAUAGUUGCCUUUUAUAGUGAUGAGCAGCUAACCUCUCACUUGACAACAAUUCCUGAUACAACACAGUUGGAUUAAAGUUAGCCCUCAUGUUGUACAUUAGCUCUCUAAACUGGCUCAUCUAAAAUUUUUCAGUUGAGGAGGAAGUAUGCAAAAAAUUUAAAACAAACCAACAUAGAACCUGACCAGCCUUGGACUCAGCCACAGGUGCGUCUGAGCCUCAGAGCUUCUCCUUGAGCCGUUCUUAACUUCUCUGAGCCUUGAUUUCUCAUAUGUCAUGUGAGCGUGAUAACAGCGAUUUUUUUGUGCAUGUUUGGUGAGCUAACAUAGGUAAUGUGAUUCACAUAGAGUCUACGAAUUAGGAGGCAUAUGACUGCUGAUACCUAUAAUUCAUGUGACAGUAGGAGCAUGCAUCAUUGUCUGCUGGUGGGCUGUGUCUUUUACAAAAGUUUCUCUGUUUACCUAUUUCUGUGCUGAUUUCAAGACAUCUUUUUGCAAUUAGAUUGAAAACCAUAGCUUGUGAGUCAUGACCCACUUUAUAUCUGGAAGAGAGCUGAGCUUGUUUUUGAUGGAUGCAAGAUCAGGCACUUGGAACUUCAUCUCUCUUUAUAUAGUGAACAAAUUGAUAUUCCCAGAAGAUAAUCGUUUUGCAAAUCGCACAGAUAGAUGCAUCCUGACUACACAUGGUGUUCACUCUUGGGAAGCUUUGAGACCCAGAUGUGACUCACCACUUGUUGCCAUAUGGGUGUGCACACCAGUUUUAAUCGUGUUUUGCUUCUUAGGAAGAGUCAUGUUCUAUCAUUAUAUACUGAUCUGCACAAUAUUGUGAGUUUUCAGCAUUGUCAAUUGGUCUAAGCAUUCCAGUAUCCUCCAGAGACCCAAUUUAGAUAAACUCAUUAUAGAAAGUAAAAUAAUGAUCUUGUUGCUGAGGUUUUGGGAUUUUUAAAUGCCUAUAACUGUAAGAGGGAUAUCACAUAAGUAGACAAAAAAGAGCUAACAGCCACUAUUUACUUAGCUGGUGCUGUCUACCAGGAAUUGUGCCAGAUGCUUUCAUAGGUUUCAUGUCUUACUGUCACAGAAGUGCAGGAAGAUGGGCAUUCCACUUUCAUUGUCAAGGGAGCUGUUGGCCCAACUCUGACUUGGACAAGGAUUGCUUGAGCCUCUGUGGCUGUGAAGCCUACAGUCUUUCUCCCUUCUCAUGUGGGACACAGUCACAAACAGAAAGUUCCACUGCUCUGCCAGCUUUUCAGAUCCUUGUUACAAUACUUCACUACUCUGGUGGUCCACAGCGCCACUGCCACGUCACAUGUCGGUGGACACUGCCCAGAAGCGGGCUGCAGCCCUGCUGGAGGCUGAUGUGACUCUUCUCUCUCUUGCUCAUCAUCUGCCUCUCCCUUGUUCUGGAAAAAAGUCUUUGCAUUGGUUUUAAUGAGUUUAUCUCUGAAAACUAUGCCAUCUGUAGCCUCAUGUAGAACUCCAAGCCCGGCCUCAUCUAUACUCACUACUCUGGGGACUGUCUUCAUAAACCUCAGGUUGGCAAAAUGUAGAUUAUCCAUGAUAACCUAAGUUCAUGGUCACUACAAUCAUCAGAGCCCAGGCAGAGCAAAAGGUCUCAGGCUGGAACACAGGGUUCAGUGUGGAGCCGCCAACAUUGUAAUUUGCACUUGAAGUUACAGUUCUUGAGAAAAGCUUUGGGAAGUGGCUCUUUCUGAGGGUCACCUCGAUUUCUAUUUUUUAAAGAAAUUGCAAUCUAGAGUCUUCAAUGAAUGAAAUAGUCUUGGUUGCUAGAAUGGGGAGAAUUACCAGUUUAGAUCAAAUUAUUCUUUAUAUAUAUCAAGCAUAUACUCUUUUCCAUGUAUUCCUCUUGACAUUUUCCCUUGCCUAAGAUUCCCACAACUUCACUGUAACGUAGGUUGAACUGUCCCUAAAAUGCAGAUCAAGAAAAUAAAGAAGGCGAUGAACAGACUUGUUCUGAACAUGGGGGUAGUAGGAAUUGAUCUUGGAUUUCAGUUUGGACCCGUUCAUUAGUAAUAAUCAUGCAUUCUUGUAAUAAAAUGGAUUAUACAUUUUUGCGGGAAGGUAUCAGCUUAGCAGAUAUAGCUGAUGAAUUAUUCUUGAUGAAUUGCUAUUCUAUUUUCAUAAUGUUAUUGUAAUAUUAUAAUAUUACUGCUAUUAUGAACUUUAAGCAUACCGGGACCGUGAUUAAAGUUGAUCUGGGGAUGCCACUGUGGUAUUUCACAUCAUUUUCUUUUUCUGUGCUCUUUGACUUCUUAAAGAAGCUCUAUAUCUGGUUUCUGUGAGUGGUGAGCCUAGGUGGCGAAGGCCAUAUUGUUUCUUCUCGUUGCUGUUUGUAAUAUGCUUUUCAGGGAAUCACUAGAUUUCUACUAGAUUUCUAUUAGGCUUUGUAAAGCAGGAGUGAAGACCAUGGAAUCUUUCGUAUUAACUCUACUUCAAGUCUUUCACUUUUUUUUUUUUCUUUUUUGACUCACUUCAGGCUUUAAGCAGCGCUCCUGAGUAGGUAAGGUAGGCAGUGAGUAAUUGCCAGGUGAGUGAGGAAAGACAGACACACUCAGGUUCUCAGCAGGAAGGACAUGGGCAUUUUUUCUGAGCAAGCUUGGGUUCACAUCAAGGCUCUGGGUACUAUCUGUGUAAGUUGGCAGCUUCCUUCUUUGCUGACUCAGUUUUCACAUAUGAGAAAUGGAACAGUUUUGCCUUCCUUGUAAAAAUGCUCCACGGCUUCAGUGAAACAAUAGGAGAUAAAAUAUUUAGUGCCGCGCCUGCAUCACAGAUGCAUUUGAGAAACAUUACCUCCCAGCCUCCCUUGGUGCCCUUCUUCUUGAUGGUAGAAUUCUUGGCUCUUGUGUUUCCUGAGGUUGUGUGCCGGAAUCUAACCGACAGCCUUAGCUUUGUGAUCGAUCAUACAGUCCCUGGCACAGCACAGGUACCCCAUAAAUAGUUGUUGAAUGAAGGAAACUCUAAACCUGAACUGUGUUGAUCGCUGUGCACUGCACAGUGAAAAUAUUACACUGUAAUGGAA
Non-coding RNA from Callithrix jacchus (white-tufted-ear marmoset), 15498 nucleotides. The record is from RefSeq and is a predicted model, not a curated record. NCBI's taxonomy places the organism in Eukaryota, Metazoa, Chordata, Mammalia, Primates, Cebidae.